Molecule: ribosomal RNA, 163 nt
Filed under: Tiquilia plicata
Lineage: Eukaryota; Viridiplantae; Streptophyta; Magnoliopsida; Boraginales; Ehretiaceae
Description: 5.8S ribosomal RNA
Rfam family: 5.8S ribosomal RNA
About the family: 5.8S ribosomal RNA (5.8S rRNA) is a component of the large subunit of the eukaryotic ribosome. It is transcribed by RNA polymerase I as part of the 45S precursor that also contains 18S and 28S rRNA.
Source: RNAcentral
CAACGACUCUCGGCAACGGAUAUCUCGGCUCUCGCAUCGAUGAAGAACGUAGCGAAAUGCGAUACUUGGUGUGAAUUGCAGAAUCCCGUGAACCAUCGAGUCUUUGAACGCAAGUUGCGCCCGAMGCCGUCAGGCCGAGGGCAYGUCUGCCUGGGYGUCACGC